AAGGCAUAAACCUAUCAAGUCCUCAACCAUAAUAGAACAACAUGCAAAUUACAGACGUGAUUGUGGUACAUUGCCACUGGUACCAUUGCUUAGAAAAGGGUAAUCUGUGUAUCCUACAACAGGAUCAUGAGUAUAGAAGGUAGAUCUAUUAUACCUAAUCAAAGGAGCAUUUAGCUUAAAGCGUAAAACUAAGUCUGGAUUUGAGAUAAAAAGGCGACCAUAGGAAACCAAAUCAGCAUCACCCUGAGCUACCGCUUCAACUCCUAGCUCUCUGGUGAACCCACCACUGGAAAUGAAAGUUCCUUGAUAAGCUUUUCGCAAGGUCCUCACUAGUUGGGCUCCUCCUCUUCACUCCCCUGUCUGCCUGCCUCUGUCUGGCCAUACGCUGUAUAUCGAGGUUGAGUCACGUGCAAGUAUGUUAACUUGGAGCCUGAAUUCAGUUGGAGCUCGUUAAGUCUCUCAAUCACUGCCAGGCCUAAGCUUAGUGGAUCAGAGUCCAUGGCAUCAAGAUGGUCAAUAGCAGGGGAAAUUCUGACACCAACACGAUCUGCACCAAUUGCUGAAACAACAGCCUGAACCACCUGCACAAUGAAUUUGCAGCGAUUUGCAACAGAUCCACCAUAUUCAUCUGUCCGAUCAUUGAUCCCAUCUUUCAAGAACUGGUCAAUUAGGUAGCCAUGUGCUCCAUGGAUUUCAAUACCAUCAAAACCUGUUACAGUAAGAAAUCCUUUAAUCCAUCAACCUAAGAAACUCAUGGAAGAUAUAAUUAUAGAGUGCAGAAUAUAAUCAUGAAGAAUUGGUAUAGCAAAUCAUAGUUUUAACUUCAUCAAGGCCAACAGCAACGACAUAUGACAAUUUUUGUUUAUCACAGUUAGCUGAGAAAUUUCAAUUCUCUUGGGAUUCUCAAAUAUGAUAAAACAAUCAAAGGAACUGGAAUGCCAACUGCAGGCUGAACUGGAUUCCAUUCAGCAUUCCACAUUGCUGAUCUUUUAAGUUCAUGGUUACAUCCUUGUCAACUAAGUACUUUUAAUGAUAUUGAUCUAAUAAUUGAUUUACUACAAAUUGGCAAUUUUACUACUUUCUACCACAAACGAAAAACAGCCAGGAACACUACAUGAAUCCUCACAUAACCGGAGAGCUAAAAGGACCACCAUGGUAAAGUAUUGAUGUUACUGUGCAGUUAAUAUCCCAAGUAUGUCUUACGAGUAUUUUUUUUUCCCAUUUUGUGAAUUUCCAGCAGGGAAAUAUUAAAUAAAUAUAAUAUGUAAUGGAAAGGUCAUGCAGAACCAGACUCCAGUGAUUGUGAAGAUCCUACAAAGUAAGCACAUAGUAUUGUAAGAACCAAGCAAUGGCAGUCCAUUCACGGCAGCUCCUCCUCUACAUCAAAAUGCCAUAGCUUGGGGUGAUGGUGCCUUAGAAUCUCCUAGCAAUAUUCUCAUCAAGCUCAAGGAAGUGCUAAUGGAAAAAUCAAACCGAUUCAACAUACACAUGAUUGUCAAAAUAUGUAUAGAUAAACAAAAUGGACUGACCGGCUUCAAUGGCAUUCAAGGCUGACUGGCGGUAAUCUUCCACAACUUGCGCAAUCUCAUGCGCUGUUGUUAAUGGACGUGGUUUAGGGUAGAUCCCAUGGCUGCCAUCAGGCAUCAAUAUCCUCCACCUCUUUGAUAUAGGCUUUCCGUUGAUGAUAUGGGUGCACCACCACCAGGUUGAUAAACUGAUCAAGAAUAUUACAACCCAAGUAAGUAAAAGUGGAAUAAUCGCCUAAUUGUUAUUAAAGUGUCUAAGUAGUUUUGAAACGGUUCGAAUUUCAUUUGGUCUUGAACAUUGUGUUCAAUAAUUCUUCAAACCAGCAUAGUAGAAAAAAAAAUAAAAGUUCUCACAUUUUCGUUAUCAUACUCGAAUACAGCUGAAAUUUGUCUUAUAAAAUAAUUUAGCAUUAGCCAUUAAUUCUAGUCAAGUUUAGCUUUAUUUUAUACUAACACCACAAAAUUACACCUUCAUGUGAUGCACGGCCAACGUGCCACAGUUGACAGAAAAUAAUAGCACCCUUGGCAUGUACUGCAUCAACCACUUGCUUCCAUGCCUCCACUUGUUCCUUUGUAAAGAUCCCCGGCACAUGCGGAAACCUGGAUCCACAUCACAAACGUAAGAAAAGAAAUGUUUAUUCAGCUCAACUUUCCUCGCGUAGAAAUGAAAUAAAUAUCAUGCCAUGCAAAAGAUAACAACGAAAAUUAAAGGGAAAUGUGAAAUUUUAUCAGAAAAUAUUACACAACUCAUUUAUAUUUUCCUUCCUUUCGGCUAUACUAAGCUUCCAAAUCUACUGCGUUAUAUACCAAACUGCAGUGUAAGGAUCGAUUGGUUAGUGUAAAAAUGAUGUUCCAACUUUAUGAAGAAAAAAUAUCUAGCUCUAAUGGCUCCAAUUGUGCGAACAUUAAACAUAUGGAUCCCACUCAACUACAGUAAUACUUGUAGACAACGUUGUUUUUAUCAGAGAGGCCCUACGGUUUCAAAUAAUUGACCAAGUAGCAGUAAUAUACUUUUCCUAAUAAACAUCCAGAAAGCAUAAAGUACAGAAUUACCCGGCAGCACUUGGGGAGAUCAUGGUGCCCUCCGUGAUGAGAAAGCCACCAUUGGUUGCUCGGCGUAGUACGCCAUGGCAGGCUGAGGAAUGCUAUUUAUGGCCCUGCAUCUUGUCAUCGGCGCCAGAACCACCCUGCCAUCAUAUAUAUAAAUGGGGUAGCCCCAGAAAAACAGAAUAUGUCAUUAGUCAUGCAAAGGGACAAAUUAGUGUAAGAGAAAAAUGAAGACAAAAUUGGCAGCCCAAAAAUGAAAUUCUGCAGCUCCAGUACUAUAUUCCUUCACAGUCUGCAUCCAAUAGAAAGCGUAUCCUAAUUUAUAAUAAAUGGCAAUCACAAAUUACAAUCCCAUGACCCUGAAAUGCAAUCGGAGCCAUUUGAUCAUGCCCUUUAACCAACAAGGAUGCACCACGGAAGCAAGUUGCCUUAACAUUUUAUACAGGCUGAUAUAAAUUUAACAUAACAGCAGAUUAGAGGAGCUGCGAAAUAUCAGUUUUUUUUUAGGAAAAAGAAAAAACUAAUGUGUAUUUGGAGUGGGCACAUAAGGAUGGCAAUAGGGCGGGGGAGCUGCUCCCUUGUUAUAAACUCCCUCAUCCCUGCCCCCACCACGGCCCGCUUCCCCCACGGGUGUCCACAAGGGUGCCUCUUCUUCCCCCCCCCCCCACCCCACCCCACUCCUCUUCUAAAUCAUUCCAAAUUGCUGCACAAGAUAAAAAGAUUUCUUAAUGUUCCAUGUCUAUGCUUCUUGAGGGAUAAGAUGUUUGUAGUUGAAUAAGGGGCAUUAUGAAGCGAUUAUCAAAAAGAAUCAUCUUUGGUUACAGUUCUUGUUUGUAUGUUGAUGGCCGGAUUAUUAGAAAUGGAGGAAACAACUGUGGAAAAACUCAAAACUUUCUCUAACAAUUGUAUAACUUAAUCUAAUCUAUGGGAGAAAAUCACUUAAGUAGCAAGUCACAAAUAGUGAUUAGUGGGACAUUGACUUCCCACCCACAACCAAAACUUAAAGUCUUGGUGGUGACCAAUAGACCAAAUGACUGUUGGCCUCUAUAACUGUCAUUUGAGCAUUUUUGUGUGAUUGAAACAAGUAUUUAUCUUUUCUAUUUAGAUUCAGAAGAUGAAGCAAAAGCUUAAAGAAAUAAAUAGAGAGAUUGAAGAAGAAAUGCGUUAACGAGAUUUAAGAGGAGGCUUUGAAGAACAGAGAUUUAAGAGGAGGCUUUGAGGAACAAAGCAUGCAUAUGGCUGUUGAAUUUUCUUCACAUAGCUAUGGACAGAUUAGUCCUGCAACCGACAAAAAAAUUGUUAUUAGGAUAAAUUAGUACUACUAAUAGUUUAACCCAACAUAAAUCAGUAACACCACCCCCCUCCCUCCCACACACAGCCCCCAUACCUCCCCUCGCGGGGCAGUGUCUCGUUGCCAUCCUUCUCUAUGGACAAAAACAAUGGGGUUCAACCAUAUAUGAAGAAUAAAAAAAAAAAAAGUAUCGAUCCUCAGUCUUUGCCAUAAGCAUUUUUCCCCCCGAAAAUUAAUAUCAUCAAAGGAAGCCGUAAUCACGUUGCUGCACCAAUAUCCAAACUUUAUCCUUUUCUUCCAAGAGAAUAGAGAGUUUAUAUAGAUCACAUUUUCAUUGUAAUAAACCCCAAACUACUCAUAUAUUCCAAUCAAUAAAAAGGAACUUCCAAAGUAAAAUGACAACUAAACUCCGGACCUGCACAGAGAGAGAGAGAGAGAUAGAACAAGUGUGGCAAACUGGCAAUGAUCCUGGCAUCAACUCAAUUAACUAGUUUGAAUGGUUGAUUUGGAGGAAUGAAACAGUUAAAACGGAGUAUAGAAGUUCUGCAAACUGGCAACGAAUCAGGCCUCUUGUUUGGGAAUUUUAGUUGGGAAGAAAGAGGAGUGAACAUUUAAAACACAUUCCUCUCCAAACAGGGACUAGUGGGAUGGAGGUACUGUGAGCUCAAAACUUGUAAACCUAUUUCAAAUCCAUUUAAAUCGGCCCAUAGAAGUUCAAGCAACACUAGUAUCAAAAAUCUUCGAGGAUAAAUUGUUCAGAUAUAUUUAUAUGACACCUCCAACAUGUAAACAAAUUAGGGAUGUCAAAGCUUUCGUUACAAAAUAUGCAUGCAUGACAAGCCACAGUAUACCCCAAAUGGCCAAAAAUAAGCAACCUGAGACUUGUCAGCAGCUGAAGCGAGAUUCAUUCCCUACUAACAACACAAAAAUUGUUUUCAUGAGCAAAAUCAUGACAUCACAUGUUACUGCUGAAAAUGUACAGGGAAUAUGCCCAAGGAUACAGAAAAGUUGGGAGCUGAAAUUUGGAACUUCACCGCUAGGGUUUUGAACUAGGUUAAACCAGGAUCACAAUGAAGGAGAAACAGAUGAAUAAUGCAGUGGUCCUCGCAGUAGAUCAGGCACCUCAAGAUGUUCCAGUAGGGGCUUCAUCUUCAAUCCAAUUAUUCGUACUUCUGGAUUAGAGUGGCCCAACAAAAAUACAUCUGUAACCUGUGAAAGUACCAUAUGACAUGAGCAAUAUGUUAAUGCAUGCCUACAAGGGACAAUUCAGCCAGGCAUUUAAAGAGAACAGAAGUGUAUAUAUAUCGUGUCAGACAAAGGGACACUGGGGGAGGGUGGCAGAGACACUACAUGGAUGAUAUUAUUUCAAAAAUGGAAAGACUGGAGUAUGUAUUUGUGACCCAAAAAGAUUUAUUCUCUGGUGAAAAGCAAUUUGUAAAGGAUAAGACCCAGGUAUCGAGAAUACUUCACUCACAUUACAUACAUCUAUAAGAUGAAAGAGAGAGUUCAUACUCCCUAAAGGUUCCAAGAUCAAUUUAAUCUUUUGUGAAGCAUUAAAAAGGCACCCCCCCCCCUCCACUGGUUUCCAGAAGCAAAACUCAUUGCUUAGAAACAGGAAAAUAUUGCCAGAGAAAAGGGCUUGAACUUGACACAAAUACACACCAUCAAAGUAUUAUGGCGCUCAUGGCAACAAUAUCUAAGAACCACUAUUAGCUGAUAUCUCAUAUCCCCAUAUCUUUGGAUGUCAAACCUAUACAUAGAUUUCAUUCGUUUAUAAAUUCAAAACAGCAUCCACUGGAUCAGUUUUCUCCUCGAACUUUUGUUUAUGCAAACUAAGCACAAGUAACCAAACUUUCUUUUACAGAUACAACACCAGCCCAGCAUACAGGUAAAUUCUUUUUGAAGUUAUGAGAAGAUCUACAUGUUAGAAGUUUCCAGUCUCUUUAUCCUAUGUUUUCGGAAAACCAGAUUGAGGUCAGGGAGAAAAUUUGCAAGCAGCACAUAAAGUUUGAAACUUGUCCAAGAAAUUCAAAAGAACAUAUUCAGAAUCAAAGGAUAGACAGUGCUUAUGAUAUUUGUUCCCUUCUGUCACAGAAUGCCUGUCAAUUGGCUGGGCUGUCCCUUUACAACUUAUAAAGUUCAUUAGAUCACAAAAAGGGCCACCGGCUAGUCUUGAAAAGACAAAUUCUGACUUCUAAUACGAGAUCCAAUAGUUUGUAAAAUUAAGUCUGGUUUAAAAAAUCAUAUCAUACCUGAGUACAACCAAAUAGUUUCAAAACUUUCAGAGACAAGCAGCCAUCUACAAUCAAUCCAAGGGCUUCAUUAGUCAAAUUGCGACACCAGGACAAAUCCAAAUAUUGCAGGUUUCUAGAGAGUCUGGCAAGUGAUAUAGCGGUAUUCUGAGCGACCUGGAAAUUUUGUCAGAAAGGCCUAGUCAAGCCCAACAAUGGAAUGCCAUGUAUAAAGUAACCUAGGAUAAAAGACCCACGUGUUUGAUCAGUUAAUGAAAUAUCAAAUACGCGAAAAAUCCAAAUUACCUCCCAGCUGCGAGAAGCAAAAUCUCAGGAUAUUGUUAUCAAGCAAAUUUGGUAUGAAAUGCAAAGAUGAGCAACAGGAGAGGGAGGGAAGAGAAGGAGCAAAAAAGGUAUUGAUAGUUUAGUACCUGUUUAACAUUACUUAGUGAAAGUUCUCUCAAAGUAUCUCCACAGGUCUCAAGAUAAGCAGCAACAGCUUCAUCGCUGCCACAAAAUCGUAGGAAAGUUAUGCUGUUGGAUGUCAACUACUAUUCUGAAUAUGGGAUACAGGAUUACUUGUCAAUGAGAACACAGAGAUAAUCUCUAACUGCACUAUAAAGCUCCUAUAAAAGUGCUAGAGGCUUGUUCUAAAGGUCCGUCAGAGUCUAUGGGUUUUGCAAAGAAGAGGCAUUGACUUCUUAACUUGCUGCUGUAAAAGGCAAGCUAGAUGUAAUGGAAACAGAAGAGCUUGGAGGUGUGCCCUCACAAUUGGGUAUUAUGGAAUAAAAUCAACUGUAUGCCUUUUGAGGACAUAUAGAAAGCUUUGUAACAGUAUCAAACAGUAUCUUUUGGUUCACAUGGUUUUUAGGGCUAAGCAUACUUUCCUAAUUCUUAUGAAUAUCGAUUCUGAAUGGAAUUCCCUUGAGGGAUCUUUAUAUCUUUGUAUACUUCAUAUAUAGGUGGUACACUCUUGUACUACUUUCUCAAAUAAUGCAUUUAUUUUAAAAGGCCAAUAUUUAAAAAACCUGAAUGUGUUGCGGCAGAGUUUCAAAGCUUGAAUUGCUUGACAACCAUUUGCAAGGUACCCUAUUGCAGUAUCUGUUAAGUUGCACAAGUUAGAGAGAUCAAUUGCACAUAAUUCUGAGCAAUAUUCUACAAUAACUCUAACAGAAGAAUCCGUCAAUUUCCUGCACCAAAGGAAAUACAAACAGGAUUAAUGAACUAAGUAGAGAUUCCUUCAUAAUUCAAAUCUGAAAAGGCAAUCUAUUCAGAAUAACCCACAUGCAAUCUGCCAAAACAAGCUCCUUUAUCUUGUGACCUCGUUCGCUUACAAAUCUACUGACAAAAUCAUCAGAAACAGUCUCCAUGCCAGCCAAUGACAAGACUUCCAAUUGUUCAAACUCUAACAAAGCUGACAAUAUAUGCUUGGCUUCUAGCCCUUGGCAGUCAUCUAGAUAUAGUUCCCUCAGAACUGAUCCCAGUGAAGCUGCCAAACUGGCAAUGCCAUCAGAAGUAAGAAGGGAACAUUGGCUGAGAUUUAUAGAUCUUAGUGAAGGUGCAGCAGAAACCAGUGCACUUAGACCUACAUCAGAAAGACGAUAUGCAGCCCGUAAUGACGCAGCAGUUAAAGCAGGCAGGCAAUUUGAAGCACGAGCUAAUGUACCAAAAAGAACAUAAUCUGCCAAACAUCUUCCACACUGAUCAAGCUGUAGGACCUGAUUCCCAAACAAAUAUAGUCUUCAGAUAUUUCAAGAUCAAUUAAAAAAAAGAAACAAGAAAUCUACAUGUAAUCUAGAUGCCUAUAGAAUUCUUCCUGUAGCUCAUGAAAAGAAAUUUCAGCACAAAGAAACAAGUUGAACUAUUUACAUGCAAAACCACCAAGCAAAAACCAAUAUCCAAAAGAAUGCACAUAGCACUUGAUUAUUUUAGUUGAUGUAAUUGAGGCUGAAUAAGCAUAGCCCAAAGCAAAAAACAAUGGGAUUUGUAGCCCGUGUCUCAAAUAUAGUUGGAGCAUAAAAAUUUAAUUAGGCCAGAUCAUGCUGCAAAGGAAAAAAACUUAGGAAAAUGCAUUGUCCAUCUCAAAGUGAUAAAAGACUUAAAUUGCAACAAAAUGACACUAUAUCAAAAUGCCAACUACAGUCAAUUCCCAUACCGUCAAAUUGCUAGUAUCACAUGCUUCAAAAGUUCUAGUGAAUAUUUCCUCAGAUAACCAGGAACAGUCCCUUAGAUGAAUCUCAGUGGGAGAACCCUGUACAAGCAGGCCAAAGAAAUGAUCACCCAUUCUCCGAGAAUCACAAAGCAAUUGAGAUAGCCUGCGCCUCAAAACAUCAGGAAUGCAAUCAAGCGAAGUGAUUGCAUCGGCAUUUUUCACAAGAAUUGUCAGGCACAGGUCCUGCAACGAGGGAACCAACUGCUUUUGAAGGUUACACUGUCGAUCCUUUUUGGGUUUCCAUGUAACUGAUGCAACCCCCCUUUUGUCUGACAAGGAAUUAUGCCGCUGAACAUUUGCAUUCAUCUGACGAUCCCUAAUAAUCUUCAUUGCAGUUGAAAAUGGACCAGGCCAAUCUUCUGUUUCAGCGUUAAUGUCAGAUGGCGGAAUUUCCCCUCCAGAGGUAUCAGCAGCAUUGUCCUCCUCCUCUUGAGACGAGAAAUGAGCAAAACGAGAUGCAUUUCGCCUGGCUAUUUCACGAAAUCGAACCUUGUGAACCCUUCUGUCAGCAGUCACACUCAUGUCGGUCUGCUCUGCAUUUUGGGAUGACAUACUAUCGGCCAAUAAAGAAGAACUUGAAACAGUGUCGUCAUUUUCUUUUUCUAACUUAUUUUCGGACUUGCGUCCUACUGAGCAAGAGGAUUUUGAUAAGGAACUACUUUCGACUAAUUUUUCUUUCCCCUUAUCCUUUCUCCUAGUACUCCUGGCCUCAACCUUCUUUUCAGUCUUAACCAUGUUUCCACCAGCUUCUUUCACCUCAGAUUUCAAUUUCAACAAAUCAAUGCCACUCAUGAAGGAAGCCUUCUCAAGUACUUUACUUUUGCUCUUCUCUUCUCCAGUAAAUUUCUUCACAUUAUUGAUACUAUGAUAUCCAUCCCCUUCAGCAAUUACCUUGGACUCAUACAUCACACCACCAUUUCCUCUGCAGCCACUUGACAUACACUCACUAUCAUUACCAGUAUAAAACUUAUCACCGUCAUUACUCUCAACUCCUUCAGAACUAUCACCACUCCUUUUUUUCCCUCCACUCUUCACGAUUCUCCUCCCAGACCGUAGAUUCAAAACCUUGUUCUCAUUCUGAUCCUGCCCUACAAGCAUUAGAUCCGAUAAUUCCACAUCAAUGCCAAAUUUUCUCCUCCUCCUCCCCUGUUUCACGCUUUCAACUGCGUCACUACUUUGGCCUGAAUUUCCCAAAUCAACAAGAGAGUCAGAUUUAUUUGGUUCCUCUAACAUUACGUCCCCAACCCCAAUUCCAACAUCAUCCUUCUUCUCAGUAGAUGCAGUAGCCAAAUUAAGGCCAUCACCCAAACUCCCAUCAUUUCCAGCAUCCAAUCUCUUCCUUUUUCGACUAAAAGUUUUAACAGUUUCUAAACCUUCAGUUAAGUCCAACUUGGAAGCCAAUCGAGCACUCCGCCUGUGGACACUUCCAGCCGCCAACCCUUCCUUACCAUCCUGACAAGGAGCCUUAGGGCUCAAACUCAAAGGACUAGUCGUUGACUGAUGGUUCAAGCCUUCUAGGGUUUUCGCCGGAGUCUCCGGCUCAAACACCCCAAUAUCCACAGCUUUCGCCGGAGUUUUCAAUAUCAUUCCCGGGGGAGCAACUUCACGAGACCUCAACACCGUCAUUUCAACUGUCUAUAUUUGUUGCAAUGAUUUAAAAGGUAAAAAACGAAUGUUAAAAUCAGGGGGAAAAAUCAAUACAAAGCCUGACGAAAUCGAGGCUAAAACGAGUACAUAGGAGUGCGAAUUUGUUCACAAGUCCAUAUACGGAAAAUAUAUAAACAAUAAGUACAAAGAACCUGAAAUAUGCAUAGAAUCGGAGCUGAAGGUAAGUAUAGACAGAGAAAUGAAAAUGUAAAAACUUACCGCCGGCUGCGGAUUCGAGGAAUGUCGCCGGGCGGCGGCGAUAUUGAAAAGUACCGAUAAAAUUGAUUGCUAAAAUUUGCUAGUGGAAACCAACCGUUGGAGAUGGAGUAAGAGUGAGAGUGAAGACGGCGGGUUUUGGCUGUUGGGUUUCUCUCUGUCUUUUUUGAGGUUUUAUUGGGGAGAGAAAUUAGGAAAGCUUCUUUAACACGACUGCUGAGAUCGCCACAGGUGGCCUAUUUCCCGCCAAAACAAUCUCCAUUUCCUGGCCUGGUGUUAUAUGUUGUCCCACUCUUACAUUCGUCUUUCAAAUAAUCACACGUCUCAUUUCCUUUGCUUGUUCUAGCAAGGUUUUUCCAGCUAUAUUUGACUAGAGCAAAUUGCGAGACUCGGUAUUUUUUUUUUUGACAAUAUGUUUGGUUAGCAAGAUUUGCACCCAAAAAAAAAAAUUUCAAAUUUUAUUCUACUAACGUCAUAAACAUAAUUUUUAAUCACCUUUUUAUUUGGCAUACAUUAUAUCACAAAAAGUGUUAUAAUAAUUAUUUCAAAUAACUUUCUAUCCAAACACACUUUUGGAAAAUUCCUCAUAACGACUAAUAUCAUUUGUGGAAAGUUCUGGGAUAAAUCAUAUAUUUUUAUUAAAUUUUAGUCAAAAUUACAAACAUCUCUCCCACGUACAAUUCCCUCUAAUUGAAUGUAUUCAAGUACUCCAAUGCUAUUACAAAAAAUUAGAAUAAAUUACACACCUCCAUUUGGAUUAAUUGUUUUUGGGGUAUUUUUGAAAAAAUUUACUGUAAUUGAGUAUUUAGAAUAUAUUUUGGAAUAUUUAAGAGUAGUAGAGUUUUUAAAAUAUAUUUUGAAAUAUUUUUUAAAUAUAAAAAAAAUUAAACUAUUUUUAGAGUACCUUUUAAAAUACUUUUUAAAAAUUUUUAUAGUAUUUGAAAACUAAUUUUUUAAAAAUUGAUAGAUCCAAACAGAUCCACACAAGUUUUUGAAAUCACCACAAAUAGUGGGUUUGGAUAAAGUACUAUUGAAAUAAUUGCUAUAAUAUUUUUUGUAAUGUAAUGUAUAUGAGAUAAAACGAUGAUUGAAAAUAUAAAAAAAAAUAGAUUAAAAAAUAUGAUUAUAAUUCUAACGAAAAUAUUAUUCGGAGAAAUUUGCUAUACUUAUUUCCCGGAACCCUCAACUCUGUGAAAACUGUCAAUAAAGAAACAGCUUGCUAGGCAUGGCGAGUAGGGCUGCAAACGAGCCGAGUCGAGUCGAGUUUUGAGCUAAUCGAGCCGAGUCUCGGCUAAAUUUUAUCAAGCUCGAGCUCGAGCUCGAACUCGACGAGCUGGCAAUUUUCGAGCUCGAGCUCGACUCGAAUCAAGUCGAGCCGAGCUCGAGCUCGAAAAAAAAAAUUUAUUUUAUUUUUUUAAAAAAUAAAUGAAAUAAUAUUUUUUCUGAAUAAAUAAUAAAAUAUUAAUGAUAUAUCCGUAAUUUCACUAUGAAAAUAAAAAAUAAAAAAUAUAUAUAUAUAAUAUACGUAAUUUUAUUAUUAAAUAAAAAUAAAAAUAAAAUAAAUAUAUAUAUAUAUAUACUCAAACUCGCGAGCCGGCUCGCGAGCUAACGAGCUUAAUAUUCUGAGCUCGAGUUCGAGCUCGAGUUCGACUCGAGCUGGCUCGAGCUCGACUCGAGCUUGACUCGAGCCGCUCGCGAGCGGCUCGAUUCGUUUGCAACCCUAAUGGCGAGGAUGAUAUAUUCCGUUCCAUCCAAACAUUUGUAAAAGCAAUCAUACAUUGAAUAACAAAUAUCAAACAAAUCAUUUGAGCCCUGAUGAUUGCUGCGCCCAAGGCGAUAGUAGGAAAAAUACGAAUUAUCUAUAUCUAUAUGUAUACAGGAAGGGAUUUUUAGCAGAAACCCUCUCAAUGACUUCUAAACUUCUCAUUCUUUUUUCUAGAUUUUUGUAUUUAUUUUAAUACAUAAAAUGUAGUGGGUUAUAACCCACCUUAUCACCCAUCAAUAUUCCCACUAUCUCACUCCCACUAUCCCACUAUCUUAACUCAUCCUAUAACCACUCCUACAAAUUCUCUAUUCCCACUAUCCCACUAUCUCACCCCUACUCUCCCUCAUUUUCUUAUUUGUUUUUGGUUCUCUAUUCAUUUUGUAAAUGUAUUGAUUUUGUUUCUUUUAUGAGCAGUAAUGGAAGAUAUUAUGUGCAGAGACUUUAGCAGAACUCAACCUUCUUGCGGAGAAUUGGAAGUAUAUUCUUGCCAACUUAAUUUUUCAGGUCAGUCCCCUCUGCCUUUUAAGUAUGUUUUGCUUUUGCUUUGCUUUUUGUCAUGAAUGAUAUUGCAUUGAUUUUCUGAUCAUCCAUUAUUUCUGAAAAUUUUUUACAAAAUCCUAUGAACGGUUGUUUGCUUAUUGUUACACUGUAAAGCAAAUAUAGUCAAUAGUGGGAUAAAAUAUAAAUACAAAAUCACAAUCACAUUUCUAACCUAAGGUAUUACUUGCUUAUAUAAUUGCGAAUGGUAUAGAUUCAUGAUUGAGGGUUUUACUAUUUCUAACAUAAAUUGUAUAUUAUAAAAUUUAUUUGUUUGUAUUACUGAAAUUUUUUUAAUUAUUUUGUAUUGCACAUUUAUCACAUAAAAAAGGUGUUACGAUAAUUAUUUUCAUAAUUUUAUUCCAAAAAUGAUCGUGCAUGAAAUAAAAAAAAUAUUUUUUUGAUAAUAAAAAAUAAUUAAAAAUUGUUUAUAAUUAGAGAAAAACAAUUCAGAUACUACUAAUAACUAAGGCACUAUACGCCCAUUAUUAAAAUUGGAUUAAUUUUUAAUUUCGUCAGAAAUUCUUUUGGCAAAAUUGCAUUCUAGCCUUUCUUUUCUUUAUCAUUUUCUCUCUGCAUUGACUGCAAUAAUUUUCACUUCACUUUUAAUGGUUGACCUUUCAAAAUUGGUAGAAAGAGAUUUUAUUAGCAUUCAAAUAACUGUUCUAUGUUGCAUCUUUUUGAAAUGCUAAAGAAGACAUGAAACUUCUUGAAAGAUGGUAUCCUACUUUUUAGAGUUUGAAUUGAAAUAUUACCUUCAUUUUUUAUAUUUUUGUAUUUUUGCAUCCACUGGAUUAGAAAAAACGCGUCCUUCUAAGCUUGGAUAAUGUUCAGUAGUGAUGUCAAAGACCUAAUGAUAUCUAUAUGAAAAAUAAAACCCAAGGGACAUAAUUAUAUAUCAUACCAGAUAUCAGGAAACUGUACAAAAGAAAUAAUCCUGACUCAUAUUUCGGCGCUCUACCUGACUCAAGACAGUGAUUUUAAAAAAAAAAUCUGAUUUCUCUUGGUAUUUGAAAAAUUCUGAAUUCUAACUGAACUUAAACCAAAAGAAUAAAUUAAAAAUUAUAGAGGCUGCCAAAUUAAAAGACAAUAUUGAAUUGGAUAUUAAAAGAUGGUUUAAACAUAGUAGGGUCUACGAACCAAAAUCUUUGAAAAACAAUUUUGUAUCCAAAAAAUAAAAAAAAAAUCUACAAGAACAAACUCAUUUUCCAAAAAAAAAAAAAAAAAGAAGCCUAUAAGAACAUACGCCCUUUUCCAAAUUUAAUAAUUUAUCUAUAUUAUGAACAUAUUAUAAACUAAUACAUUCCUUUUUAUUUAAUAUUAAAAAUUGAUUUAAAAUAUACAAGUGAUAGCAGAGGGAAUGAAGCAGUUAGCGACAUGUGAAAAAAUCGAAAAGGACAAAAGCAAUUAGAGGGAUAAUUUCGCACAAAAUUCAUGGAUUAAAGUGCACUUUGAGGUAUAGAUGGGAGGCAUUUUAGUGCAUUUAUUGGUUUGUUUUCAAUAAGUGGUUAUUGGUUUUGGGGGAUUUGGGGGGUCUACAUAUACCAAAAUAUAUUUAUAUAGGGAUUACUUCAUUAACUAUGAGUGCUAAUAACAAUUCUAUUGGUACGUAAUUUUCAUUUGAUUACAACACAAUUGUAUUAAAUUCUAUUGAUUCUACUUCUAUAUUAACUAUUGUAUUUUUUUGUUAACAAUUCUCAUACAAUGUAUCACUUACUACACAUAAAAUAAAUACAAAAACUAUUUAUUUUUUAUUUAAUAUAUAUAUUCUUUCUAGAUCAAAGAAAUAAAAAUAUUGCCUCUCUUCAAGUUCGACAGCCAUCCGCAUCACCAAUACUUUUGCGUGAUCAUGGUAAAUAUACAGUUUUUUAUAUCGUCAAAGAUCGUGCAUUUUCAUUUGUAGUACACACUCCACAAAAUUCAACAUAGUUAAUUAAAUUAUCAAUUUUGGCUUUCGUACUAAAAGUGGAUUGGUGUGAAGAGUGUUCGCACUUUCAAGAAAGAUUAUCAAAUCGAAUGCUUAGCAUUUGCAAGUAUUUCAUUUUAACAACAUCCAAUUGCAUUCAUUUGUAGAAAUAUAUCAUUCCCUUUUUUAAUAUAAAUUUUAAUUUUUUUUCAGGAUCCAUCUUUCGAAAAAAGAUAGUUCUUGAAUGAUAUACACAUUCUAUUAUAUUUCAAACUAUUGUUAAACAGAUAUUACAUUUAAAUUUUGUUGGUUCAAUUUUUUCACCUUUAGUUGUUCAUCAUUUUAUUUUUUUCAAUAAUAUCAGCACCGUGCGUAGCACGGGUAUUCACACUAGUUAUAUUAGUGAGGAUACAGUAACUUAAGCAGAAUAGCCAAAAAAAAAAAAAGGAUCAUUUGAAAAUGAUGAAGUACACUAUUUAACAUGAUUGAAGAGUCAUACAUUCGUGAAGUAUUGUCUUAACCCUUAUGGGGGCCCCGUUCUCUAUCUCUCGGUUUGGUUGGACGCAUUAUCCCAAUUGUCAUGAUCAGAAAUUUUUUUCCCCAAUUGUCAUGACUAGAUGACUCUUCAAUUUAACAAAAAAGCGAUGGUCUUACGUUUGACUAAACUGCUUCCCUACCACCGCAAAGAGACAGAUGUAAAGUUUAUGAGCUUGAUUAUUUUAAUUAAUUAUAUAUUCUAAUUUUGAAUAAUUAAUUUUUAUUAUGAUAUCUGUUACUUUUGUAGUCUGACUAUAGAUUUUUAAUGAUAAAAAAAAUUUAAAAGCGAUAAUCACUAAAACAAUAACUUUGAUAAUUAAGAUUAUUUUUUACAAUUAGUUUCUAUAAUAAGAUUUUAUAAAGUCUAAAACAAUCAAGAACAAGACCUAUGUAGUAAGGCUCGUUAGUCUUAUAAAAGAGUCCCAAAAGAUCGGUCAUCCACAUUGCUGAUUGCUCUCUCUAAAGCUAAUUAGUGAUGAAUUGAAAAAUUGUUGGCAAAACUUUUAUGAUUUGUAUAUUGAAAUUGAAAAAGUUUGGGAACUAAUUUGAUUAAGUCGAAGAUUUGUGUUAUAUGCAUCGUUGAAACUUGAAACAAGGAAGUAGUUAUAUGAUUAUAUCUUCGUACGAUUUUCAGCAACCCUUGCAAUAAAAUGCAUUUUUUCCUUUUGUCAAAAAAAGAAAGUACAUAUAGAAUUAUACUCAGUAAUUGAUUACACGAAAAUAUCAGAUGCAGGAAAAAAAAAAUUAAGAAAAAUACCCAAAAAGAUUAUUGUCAAAAGAAGCCAGGUGGAAAGAGGACCAUUCAGGCACAGUUGAGUUGCAUGUUCAUAAGGUCAACAAAUGUGGCGGCACGAACUGGAAAUGCACUGGAAAAUCAAAUGGUUUUUAUUUUUUCUAACCAAAGAACUAGGGAUUAUUUUACCCAAAAAAAAAAAAAAAUCAAGAGCUUCUUGCAUGCAUAUUUUUUCAACAAUCAGAGAAUUACUAGAACAAACACAACAAACUUAGAUUAACACUCAGAGAUAAGCGAAAUCAUGAUGCAUUACUAGAACAAACACAACAAACUUAGAUUAACACUCAAAAAUAAGCGAAAUUCUGGUACAAAGCACAAGCUAAGGUAGAGCCCAUAAACCAAUACCAUCCAACUAAUUAAUAACUGAAAGUGCGACUGAGAACCUUAAAUCCAGGAUAACUACCCCGCAAUCUUUCGAUGUGGGUCAAGAGCUUCUUGCAUGCAUGGUUGAAUCGAUAUGGUCCCGUCAUGGAAAAAUACAGAUAAACGACGGUGGUGACCCGAGCAUUAAAUAAUUCUAAGAAUAUUAGUAAAAGAAUUAGAGAGAGAUUAGACCCACGUGGUUAGACUUGACUUGUGGGUUUACUUCAGCAUCACCUCAAUUAGUAAUCAUAUAAAUUAGUUUACUAUGGUAGAUUAACUUAAGACGUGGCAGAUUUUGUCAUUCCUCGUUAUUAUUAUUUUAUUUCUUAAAACUUCUCACAGUCACAGGCAACGACGAGGACUUUUUAUUCCAUCACCGGCGUAUUAGUACUAUUAUUAUAGAGUCUGAAGAAAACGACACAUAAAACUUGUUUUAUGGAAUGGCUCAUUAUCAAGAAAGCACAAGCUGUUGAUUCUAUCUAGUUUAUUUAUUUUUUGACUAAUUCAAUUAUUUUCUUGGGUUUUAAUUAGAAUAAAUAUUCAUGGUCCCAUUGAUAAGUGUAUGCGCUGCCCACAACUCGCAAUCUUGCACGGCCAACCACUUACACAAGAUUUAGAACUAAAUAAAUAGUAAAAUAAAUAAAGAGCCACACGAAUUACCCAAAAAAAAAAAAAAGAAGAAGAAGAAGAAGAAGAAAUCGUGGAGUCUAUCCAAGCCCGCUCAAUUGCUGAUAGAUCUAAACCCCAGGCACGUCAUUCUAAUUAGGUGAUUUUUAGAAAAUAAAAUAAAAUAGGGCAAAGUUGCUGGUAGAAUGGAAAUUAUCAAUUUGAAACAUUUUCUUAAAUUACCGUCAAGUCUAAUCAGCAUCAUCUAGUACAUUUGUCUCUUUCUAGCAUUUUCUUCCAAAUCAAAAGAUUUUACCCAAAAAUAAAAACAAAGGGAAAGAAUUGUAGAAAUUUUGUCAUUCAGAUGUAAUAACCUUUUUUUUCAAAUAAAUAAAACAAAAGAAUCUAUUUCUCAAAAGAGAAAAUUAACAUUUUAUCUUACCAAAAUUCGAAAGCGUGCUGACUCAUCUGUCCCCCAAGCCUAGCUCAUGUGAGCUCUCAAACUCGAGAUUAUCUUGUUUUUUUAGAGCCAAAAGUCAAUCAUUGUAAAUAAAGGAAAAAUAUUAUUUUCACUUCCAUUUUUGUUAGUCACACCUUCAUUAUUACUUUAAUCAUAUACUCGUUUUUAUUGAUUAAAUUAUAUGAUAAACAAAUGGCGUGGAUGCAAAUAACAUUUUUUCAAAAUAAAUUAUCACUAACUAAUUGAUGUUGCGUUUGCUGUACUAAAUAAUUAUAUUACUGUAAGGAUUGCUUCCAAGGCACUUCUUAAAAUAGUUAAAUUAUAUUUAAUCUAUCAUGUGAUUCACAUUUUAUCGUCCUCUGCUUCUAAUAUUUUUCUAAAUUAGUUUCACUUUUAUAUAUAUAAAAAAAAUCUGAAACCAUAUGUUAAUAGACAAAUUCAUAAACAAUUCGUCACCAGUAUUGAUAACGUAAUAUCUUUACCAUUUUUUUUUUUUUUUGAGGUCAAGUUGAUUCCUAGAUAAUUUCAAAGUUCAUAUACAUAUGUGUACAAGCUCGAACAUGUCACGAAUUCAUAAGAUGCGUGUAUUUGUGGAAAUAAGGAAAAGAAGAUCAAAGCACUUUUAAGUAUUUUUAUAUUAAAGUAAUUACCCAAUUUUGAUUGCAAUUAUCCAACUAUAUUUUGGCUUGUAUUCCUAGUAAGUAUAUGAAAAUUGAAAAGUAGAAUGCAUGAUAGUGAAUACAAAAGCUAGGUCCUACACUAACAAGUGACACUGAUCCAAAAAUCAAAGCACCAAUCAUAAUCAUUUUUUUGUUUAUUCCAGAAAGUUUUUUUUCCCCCUUGCCGCGUUCAACUCCAUGCUCUCCUUUUUUCUUCGUCCUGUGACUUGCCCCACUCCAUUACUACUAACUAAUCGAUCUCAUAAACUUUUUUCUGAUCCCAUCGACGAUCCUACUGAAACCGAAUCACUACAUUAUCUUCGGAAACGCUUCUGCAAGAAUCGUGGGCAAGAUAAACACUGUGCUAAUCCCUACUACAUGGGAUGGCUCAGCAUCACAACCACAGCCACCACCACCACCACCCAGCCGCCGCAGAUGGCGCAGUUUCUCAGCGAGUCAAUAGCCCUCGAUUCUCCGGUCCAAUGACUCGCAGAGCCACCUCUUUCAAACGUCAAAAUAACAACAGGGACAAUGGUAGCAACCACAGCUCCCAAACCAAAGACAACAAUAGUAAUAGCUCUCACGAGAUUAAUGUUCAGCUGAACUCGCCCAGAUCUGAAAACUACUCGAAUGCGAACUCUGGAGAUGGGUUCGAUUCUUUGGUGGAAAAGAGGCAGACCCGUUUGGGGAAUUUGACUCAAAGAGUGCAUUUGAAGAGAAAGAUUGGAUCUUUUGGUAUGGACUUUGGGUUGGGAUUGGAGUUGAAGGGGAAGGUGAAGUGGGGGCAGUGGAUGUUUUUUCUGUUUUGCGGGCUUUGUUUGUUUCUGGGGAUUUUGAAAUUUUGUGUCAGUGGAUGGUUUGGAUCUGCAAUUGACACAGUUGGGUCCAAUCAGGUUGGUUCAUUUCGCUUGAACUAAAUCCAUUUCUUGUAUGGAUCAUUGGCAUCGGAUUCGUGGAUUUAUGAUGUAUAUAAUUUUUUGGUUUUUCUUUGUGCUCUUACCAAGCUUUUUUACUUCGUAGUAGUGGAAUAAUUAAAUACUACUGCUUUUUAGAUGAUGGUGUUAAGAGUAAGCUGAGAAUUUACUGGUUGAGUGAUUAGGAAGGUCUUCGUUUACUUGCAUACGUAAAAAGAAUGACAGAUUAGUUAUGUCAAUUUCUUUUCCUACUGAAGUUAGGUUGGUUAUAUUGUAGCAUGGCACCCUUCGGUUUCUUAUUUUAAGUAGUCUAUUGCAUAAUAGGGUCCAUUGAUUUUAGGUUUGCUAAUGCAUCUGACGGAGAAUGCGAGUUCCUGUUUUCUCAUACCCGGUUCAUGUAUUCUCGCAUAUAUGUUGUGCACUGCCUUUAUUAUAGAAAUAACAGUGGUACGGUGGUUUAAUGGCUCUAACUUCCUUUUUAGGAUUUCUAUGACAAUCCAGACGCUGCUUAUAAUGUGAGAGAUGAAGGGGCUCAUGACUAUGGAUAUCGAACAGGAGCUAAUGAAAAUGCAGGCAGAGAAAAUGAUAAUGACCGGACUCUAAAGACGGUACCUAGAAUGGCUGAUGUGAGCACCAAAUCUUGUUUGACCAAUUUUAUUUUUGCAUAAUCUUCUCGUAUCAUUUCUGAGUGAAAAUUAUUCAGCAUUCAGGUACAUGGGCCAAGCCAGAUAGUGAGAAUUAUACUCGGUGCAUUGAUCAGUCAAAACACAAAAGUAUAGCUCUAUGGCUUUCUCUUGAAUUUGAUUUCGUUCUGAUGUUGCACAUACUCCAUUUGUUCUUUACUAUCUUGCUUUUCUGAUUCAUGAACAGAGUUGGACGAAAAGACGAAUGGUUACCUUCUGAUAAACGCAAAUGGUGGCUUAAAUCAGAUGAGAUUUGGGGUCUGGUUCUUAUUCAAUGAUUGUAUGACUUCUGCUGAAGAACAUAAUGAACUAAUCUGAUAAACAAGUAUUUCUAGAGUGCAGAUCUGUGACAUGGUUGCUGUUGCUAAAGUCAUGAGGGCAACUCUUGUUCUUCCCUCCCUCGAUCACACUUCUUACUGGGCUGACGAGAGGUACCUUCAAUCAUCCUCCACUCAUUCAGUGUAUAAGAUAGCACAAAUAAUGCAUUUAACCAGUUGCAAAUGCUGCAUUUGAUUUGUGUUUCUUAGUAAUCAAAUUCUUUUAGCAUCAUCCUGUUACUCACAAGGUAUGUCUGCCUGAUAUACUUGUUAACGAACAGCAGAUGAGACAUAAAACUGGUUUUCAUGUAAAAUUAUUACACCUUGACCACCUUAAAAUAGUAUACAAGGAAAGAUAGCAAAAUAUAUUUCAGCUUUAAGAAGUGUACAUCUCUAUGAUACAAGAGCUUCAAAAUAUGUCCAUUGCAUUGGUUCAACAUGUACCAUACAUUAAUAGCACUUAAAUGCCUUAAUGGAAGAUCAACAGGUGCUAACAACUUCCUAUGGUUUGCUUUUCUUGUCUUUGUGCAGUGGCUUUAAAGAUCUAUUUGACUGGGAACACUUUAUUCAGACAUUGAAAGAUGAUAUUCACAUAGUUGAGGCACUACCACCUGAAUAUGCUGGAAUUGAACCGUUCAACAAAACACCCAUUUCCUGGUCUAAGGUAGUCUUGUGAACCUUUUCCACCUCUAGCAACAAGCAUGCCUGCUGUAAUGCCUAAGAUUUUAUUGUAGCAUGCUUGUAAACUUGUAGGUCCCACAUACGGUUUAAUACUAUAGCUCAAAAUAUAUUGGAAAACUUUGUUCCGCACAUGUUUUGCCAUGUAUUGAUGGCUUUUUUGUGUUUUCUAUUUAUCUUAUGCUCAAAACUUUCCUUGUUCAGGUCAGCUAUUACAAGUCAGAAGUUGCCCCACUUCUGAAGCAGCAUAAAGUGAUCUACUUUACUCAUACUGAUUCCCGGCUUGCCAACAAUGGUCUUCCAAACUCCAUACAAAAGCUAAGAUGCCGUGUGAAUUAUAGAGCUUUGAAGUACUCAACCCAAAUUGAAGAAUUAGGGAAAACUUUCGUGUCAAGAAUACGAUACAAUGGAAGUCCUUACCUUGCUCUCCACUUGAGGUCUGUCAUGGUGGUCACAAAUGACUUGUGGGAAUUUGAUGCUCUAAGACUUGCUUGUUGUUUUGAAGUUUGAGAUCCAGACAUUGAACUUUUGGAGUGUAGUUAUCCUACAGUCUACUAAACUCUAGCUGCAGUAACCUUUAUAUGCUAGUUCAAGAAACUUGAAUGAUUAUAUUCCUCUCAUUUGGUUAGGAAACUUGAAGGGUUUUAUUCCUCUCUUUUUGCUUAGGAACUUGAAUGAUUUUAUAUUCCUCUACAGUCUACUAAACUCUAGCUGCAGUAACCUUUAUAUGCUAGUUCAAGAAACUUGAAUGAUUAUAUUCCUCUCAUUUGGUUAGGAAACUUGAAGGGUUUUAUUCCUCUCUUUUUGCUUAGGAACUUGAAUGAUUUUAUAUUCCUCUACAGUCUACUAAACUCUAGCUGCAGUAACCUUUAUAUGCUAGUUCAAGAAACUUGAAUGAUUAUAUUCCUCUCAUUUGGUUAGGAAACUUGAAGGGUUUUAUUCCUCUCUUUUUGCUUAGGAACUUGAAUGAUUUUAUAUUCCUCUAAUUCGUGUUGCAUUUCAACAGAAAUUGAAUGUAAAACUUUGAUAUUGUUCUUCAAAUGAUUUGACAAUUUAACAAAUCCUUUUGCACAUUUGAUACUGGUUUUUGUGGGCUUGGAAGAAAGACGCUGAUAUGAUGGUCCAAAUGAGAAAACAAAAAUACUAGUAUGCCAACACCAAUACCUUUGAUUGUUUUAGAUCAUUUCGCUUUUAUUCUGAAUGGCAUCUGGUGCUCUAGUUGAAUUCCUUAGUGACUUGUUAUAGAUUUUAAUUCCCAUACUACAUGUUAACCGUUAUCUGUUGUUGUGUCAGAUAUGAGAAGGAUAUGCUGGCUUUCACAGGAUGCAGUCACAAUUUGACAGCAGAAGAAGAUGAGGAACUUCGUAAGAUGCGAUACGAGGUGAGCCAUUGGAAGGAAAAAGAGAUCGAUGCAGUAGAGAGAAGAAAGGUUGGUGGAUGCCCUUUGACACCCAGGGAGACGGCCCUUUUGCUUCAGGGGCUAGGAUAUCCAUCCAACACUAGGAUUUACUUGGUUGCUGGUGAAGCUUAUGGAAAUGGGAGUAUGCAAUAUCUCACGGAGAGCUUCCCAAAUAUCUUCUCCCAUUUGACUUUAUCAUCUGAGGAAGAACUAAAUCCUUUCAGAAAUCACCAGAAUAUGUUAGCUGGGUUGGACUAUGUAGUUGCUCUUGAGAGUGAUGUUUUUGUAUACACCUAUGAUGGUAAUAUGGCAAAAGCAGUACAAGGUCAUCGGCGCUUUGAGGAUUUCAAGAAAACUGUCAAUCCAGACAGGUAAUGAUUCUAGGUGCAGAGCCUUCUCAGAAUUUUGUUAGGAACAGAAUGGGUUUCUUAUGGCACUUGAAGGUUGGAUUCAUCUUAUGUAUGAUGUGCAAUUGUUAUUGCACUUGGCAUAAAUCCAAAAUUGCCCGGUGUUAAAAUGCCUCAUGCUGAUUGGAUAUAAAUUAUGUCGACUUACUAUAAUUUGUUAUGCUAAACUAAUGCCUUCUGAUUUUCCGGAUGCAGGAUGAAAUUUGUAAAGUUAGUUGAUGAUCUUGAUGAAGGGGUAAUGUCCUGGAAAAAAUUCAGUUCUAAGGUAAAAAAGCUUCACAAGGAUCGCAUUGGAGCCCCCUAUCCAAGGGAGCCUGGCGAAUUCCCAAAGCUAGAAGAGAGCUUUUAUGCAAAUCCGCUUCCUGGCUGUAUUUGUGAAAAAAGCCACGAAAGAUAGAAGAGGUUUGACUCAACAGGUUUUGCUGAUUGGUUUCUGUACUGAACACUUCAAAGGGCUGUUACCAGAGACUGAUACAACGCUCCUUAAGGGUGAAUGGCUUAAAGAUUUGUUUGAAGUUCAUUUAGCCAACAUUUCAAGUGCAAACUGGAUCAGUGAUGACUUGCGCUCCUCAAGUUCAGCUAAAUUUGGCAGCUCAUCGCACGGUUCUGAAGCAUACUCUUCACCACACAAUGCUUACACAUUACAUUAAUUACACAUCCUGCAGCGGAUGACUUUUGGUAAUUGAUAUGUAAGUUGCUGACUUCCAUGUACCAAGUACAGACACUUGCAUGAAUUGGGAAAAUGGAAAACUCAUAGUACAACUUAUUUUACUAUCGCUGCUGGAUGCAGAAUAUGCAAUUGAUUGAUACUACAACCGUUCCUGAAUUUCGUUCUUCGAGUAAAUUCCAUCUUCUUAACUUGUUAUGUUUGUAUCACGCAAGAGAACUCGUUCAGGAACACUUAAAAUCUGCUGCUUGGAGCUCAUAAAAUUUUACUUGAAACAAUUUGUAGAACAAUUUUUCUUUGUUAUUAGCUUUUCUUAUUUUUUUUCCCUUAAAAGGUAAAAGCAUGAGGAUAUUUUGGUCGUUUAGAAAAAUCAUUCUGCUCUCUCCAUCUGCCGUGAAUGAAAAGCGGUUGUUUAUAAUUUGGUCAUGCAUCGGGGGUUGAUUGGUAAUAUAAGAUAAACUUUAGAGGAGGAAAAUGCAGUCAACCGUACCUUCAAAUUGCUAUUGGACUAAACUAAUCGCUUUGGCAAAUUUUAAGCCUGGUUUACAAAAUUUAGGCAAGAAAAGAAGGAAGAUUAAGUACAAGUUGGGCAACAAAAGAAGAGAACUGGUUAGGUCCUCCUGUGCUACGUUUGAGUGCGAAAGGAUGAAAGAAGAUUACCAAUGUUAUAUUAUAUGUGACUUUUACAAGUUCGUCCUUCUAUAUAAGUAUUUUAAUGUGUAUUUGAUGGGCAAAAGGGACAUUGCAAAUGGUGCUAAGGGUGCAAAAUCAGAAUAGUUGAGAACAUUAGGGGCGCAAAAGGAAAACAAGAAAGGCCUAGCAUGAAGAAGAGCACAGCGUGCAUAUUAAAAUCAAAUGUACUCCUUCAAUCCCGAAUUCAUUUACGACAACAUCACAUUUAAUUUCAUUUCCAGAACAGGCAGAUUUCGGCACGAGAGUUUCAGAUUUGACAACAAGAGGAAAUACGAGAAAAGCCAUCAUUAGGACAGCUGAAAUACCACCGGAGACUGAACUGCGGAUAACUACUCCACUAAAUCAUUCUCAUUAUUUAGAGACUUCAAUCCUGACCUUAAACGAAAGUACUUGAACUGCAAAACAGAUGAGCAACAUAAAAUGGAUCACAGCUUUGUGAAAGAACGAACUAAUUGACUGACUCCAAAUUCCGUCUGAACAACUUCACGGUAAUCUAAUUGGUGCCACCAAGGAUUGCUUUGAGCUUCUUGAUUUGUGGAAUGUCAAGGAAAGUGGUUUUGGCAACAAUUUCAGUUGGCAAAUCAUUCUUGAAGAAUGCAAAGUCAGUGACUUGAAGACCGGGGUUAGGACUACUAAAGCUAACAAAAGCUAGAGCAGGACUCUUCCCGGAAUUAAACUGGAAAUGCAGCAACCCUCGUGGGAAUGCCAUCACAUCUCCUUUUACAAGAGUUUUGAAAUAGACUUGAUUCUCCAAUGAAGAAAUGAAGCCAGCACAGAGCUGCCCCUGUAUGACAACAAGGAUUUCAGAUCCUCCAGGGUGCGUGUGAAAUGGGAUAACACCACCCACAGCAAAAUCCAGACGGGCAAUUGAAAUGCCAAGACCAUUCACACCAGCGAACGUGGGUGGAAAAGCAGGGGUUACUGCCGCAGAAAUGAUGUUAGAAGUGUUGCCAGAAGCUGCUAAGCUGAAAAUAAAAUCAUCAACUGUGACGUCAGCAGUCUUCUUGCAAGAGUAACCUGCAGGUCCAACAGGCAAUGAAGGAUCCGCUACGCAGAAGUCGAAAGCUUGAGUUGAGGCAACAAGGAGUGAAAAGAAAAAGAGGGCUUGUAUCAACAUUUCUGCUAGCUAUUGAGUUUAACAAGGGAGGAAUGUGGAUAUGUGAUUAAGUGGUGGAGAAUUGUGAUGUUGAGAAUGUAUGCUGAAUUUAUAAGACUGUGAUGGCAUGGAUAUUUCUGGACCAUUGGGGAUAUGCCUUGAAGCAUUUCACAUGCAUGCAAAAUUUGACGAAUGAAAGGACAUAUUAUGGGUUGUCAUGCAUGUGAUUGAGUACGUUCUCAAUCGACAAAUACAAAGUGUCCCUUUUUGUUUGGAAUUGGCUAGGAUUGAGAAGCAUAUUCUGUAAAGUGCAAAAAGAAUCCAAGGAAAGAAAAUGAGCUAGAUUGCUGUUUAUAAGGUUCCAAAUGGGCUAGGAGUUUCUACUCGUGGCAUAAUUAUACUAAUUUAGUAAUUUAACAGCAGUCUUAUGGCAUAAUAGGCUUCCUUAUAACAGUGAAAUCAAGGAGAAUGUAGAUUAAGUGGAUUUAUAGAUGGCAGUUAUUUUAUUUCCAACAGUAGAAGUGUCUUCAUUUUGGUUUUGGUUUUGGUUUAUAGGCUUUAAUAUAAUUAGAAAACUUUGGUAAAUUACUUAGGUGACUGCAAUUAGUAGUUCAGGGCACUAUCAGUGGUCCUGCAACUUUCAUAUUAUCAGAUUAUCCACGAAUAAGGAACCGUGCACCUAAGAAACGCUACAGAGAAUGCAAUUAUGAUGAUUGUAGUCCUUGCUCCUUACUAGCAAAGGCAUUGGGCACUAUGUCAGUAGUUGUUACUUUAGUUUGUGAUCAAUUCAUUUGACAGAAACAGAUUUUUCUCUGUAGUUCUAAGCAAACUGCCCCUUAAAUUAUCUCUUUUUGCGGUUUUGGACAAAAGAUGGUGAUAGUUUGGUCAGCUAACACAUACUUGAAAUAUAUUCUGAUUGGAAAUUUUUAGUCUCAAGCACAUGAGAAAAUGUCUUAUGAACCAAACAGUACACAGUUUCUAUCAAAUUUUGAAGGACUCUCCAUCAAAAAGAGAUUUUAAAGAUGAAAAAAAAUCUUGCAAUGUGGUCCAUGAUCACCCAAGGUAGAAGAAAACAUUUGAGAGACAAAAGUGAGUCGCAAUGUGGUCCAUGAUCACUCAAGGUAGAAGAAGACAUUUGACAGCCAAAAGUGAGUUUUUGCAGGCCCGUCUUGUCAUUUCAUAUUAAGUUAGCCAACAGCCGUGUAUAAAUGUAUGGAUCUGGUAACUUCCCUAUCCUUUGCGGCAUUGUUGAGGAUGAUUAGACACACCUAAAGGAUAAGGUUUCUGCUUGUAAAAUCCUGUCUGCAGAAGACAAACACUUUUCACCUUAAUGGAAGAAAAAGUUGACUACGAACACAGUUCAGUGAAUUUUAUAACACAGGAGUAAAGUGAUGGUUAAGGAAUUAUAGCAACAUAAGUGCCAGUAGACAAUUACUGCAAUUUUGAGAAUCAGGUUCUUUUCCAUGGAAAUUGAAGCGAUAAGGAAUCACCAAAAUUACGAACCAGUGAUAAAUUACUUUUGCAGUUGAAUAUUACUUUUACAUGGAUAAACGUUGGCAGAGAAUCAUAGGCUUCAGCAUCCUUGAAGAAUUCAACAAAGCUUCAUGGGUAGAAAGAUGGAACACCAUAGAGGCCAGGGUAUUCUCCUUAAAUUAAUAAUACAAAAGCUCUGAUAUGCAAGCUAGCAUGAUAGCUUUGCUACAUUGGAAGCAAAGGACAAGUUUCAUUAAGAAUCAUCAUGACAUUGUAGAAAGCAAACAAAAAAUCUUUGGCAUUGAGGAUUUCGAAUCAUGUGGACGUGCUAUUCCUAAAAGUUUGAACUUCUUUCACGUACUGCCAACAUGCUAGAUAGACUGGCAAAAGAAAACCCCAAGAAACUGACAAUUUCUCAUUCGAAUUCUGUCACGCAGACUAGAAUACAGAGAUCUAACCAGAAUGAGCCCCACAAACCGUUCGUGAUGAUGGAUACCAGGUAAAUUCUUAAUAAGUAGAAAUAUUGCUGAGCAUUUUUAUUUCUUGUUCAUUCCAUUGCCAUAAUGUCAGCACAUCAGACCUUACCAUGAAUAUAAGGAAGCAUCAAUUGGAUCUAAUCCUAUUAUUAAAAGUGAACCAUUCAUCCUCCUUAAUGAGAUAAUGUAUAAUCUGAAGGUAAAAAGAAUAGCAUUGCUAAAAAACGCGAGUGAAGAUUGCAAGCUAUGUCUAUGACAAACCGGGGGGGGGGGUGAGAUUUACCAGGAUGGAGAAAAAGAACAAGAAAACAAGGAUUAGGGUCAUUUUCUCAUCUUAUAUAUCACCACUUUAUUCGCCUAGUCUAGGAUUAGGGUCUUUCUAAACAGCCCAAAUCUUAUUCCCACGAGUAAAAUCUUUAUUGUAUGCGCAGCAGAAGAGGCUAACUAAAUAUCACCCAGAAUUUAACAAGAGAACCAUCUUACGAGAAGUAUAUACAUUUGCAUUGCCCUAUGCUGCUGAAAAAAAUUAGUAUGUCUUCAUUUUUUUAUGUUUCUAUCUGUAAGAAUGCAUUUUCGCAUGGAUCAACAUUUUGCUUCCAGAAUUUGCAUGUUUAUAUGGUAAUAUCUUGGUUCAAUGAUGGUAUAUAAUAAUUCUGUAAUAUAUCCUUUUCUUAACUAGUUAAAUUGGUUCUCUCCAGAAUAACCCGAAUUCUCUUUCGAAAUCCUUUUUUUUAGUAUGUAUUUAUAACUGGUAUAAUUAUAGCAUCAAUUUGUUAUCCAUUUCCUUCCUGUUUGUAAAAGAAAAAAAGAAAAGAAAAGAAGCAAGGAAUAACGUACCCAGUGAAUCUUGGAACGAAAGCUAAUUGCCGUGUAAGGAAUUUAUCUUCUGAAAUCCAUCGAGAAUUUUGGAUUCUAAGGUCCCAGUUGGAUUGUAAUUUUUUUGGAAUUUUUAUAAAAAGAACUUACUAGAACACGUGAUAUAUGUCAGUCACAUAAUGAGGUAAUUAAAAAAAAAUGUAUAAACACAAUAUUCCUAAAAUUUUAUCACAAAAAUUCACAUUCCAAACAAGCCCUAAAAUAUUCUAGUCAGUAGUUGAUGAAUGAUGUAAAGUACUACCUUACCUAAGGGUCUGUUUGGUUGGAAGUAAAAUAUUUUCCUUGGGAAAAUAUUUUCCGUGGAAGUAAUUUUCCAUGAAAAUCAUUUUCCUUUUAUCAUUUUCAGGUGUUUGGUUAGUUUAUUGAAAAUAUUUUCUUACUUCAUUUUUCUGGUGUUUGUUUAACUUUUGAAAUAUUUUCACUUUUAUCUCUAUUUUUACUUUCUACACAUUAUAACUAUAUACUUCUUCCCAUGCAAAAUAAGAAAAUUUAUCUCAUUGUUUAACUUUAAAAAAUCUUGAAGAAAUAUAUAUAUAUAUAUAUAUGAAUAAAAAAUAUUUCCUUAAACAAUAAACAAAUUGCUGGCCAUUUAGUGUCAAAUAUCACUCACACGCAAUGCUUAUUAUGACAUAUAUCUUACACUUUCACUGCUGAAAGUUUCUCUAGAAAAGAAUGUCCCUAUUAUAUAUAAUUAAUUACUAGCAUAGGAUGAGCAGGAUGAGGUUUUUUUUUUUAUUUUGAAUAUAUUAGGGGAAGGGUUGGGUUGGGUUGAGUGGUACGGGGGAAGGAGUGUAAGGAAGAGGUUUUGGGUUCGAGUCCUCCUGUUUACACUAAAAAAAAAAAAGAACAUACUACAAGAUGUUUUCAGUAAGUUUGGAACAUACUAUAGGCGAGAUGCAUGCAUUUCGAAAAACAAUUUCAGUAAGUUUGGAAGGGAAGUUGUUUUCCAUAAGAUGAGUGAAAAUAUUUUACAUAAGAAAAUGUUUUCAGUAACUUUUGUGCAACCAAACACGGGAAAUUAGGAAAAUAUUUUCCUGGAAAACAUUUUCACCCGAAACAAACGGACCCUAAAUUUGCAAACUUCUAGAUUUAAAUUUGAUUAUUACCCAACCUAAUUUUAUUUACUGAAUCUUCAAAAAGGUGCUUUUUGUGUAUGAAACCGUAAUAUGCUGAGAAGUUCAAUAUUUUGUGAAUUUUGUAUACUUAUUAAAACUGGCGUGCUUUUGUACUAAUUGCUAGUGACAUUAAUUUGCGAGCAAGGACGAAUACUACAAGGUAUUAUGACCAAUCUCUUCAAAUUGACAGUGGCACUGGCAGCAUAGCUAGGUAUCUUUUUUAUGUCGUCGUGCUUAAUAUUUUUGCUACUUCUUGUUUUGAUAGAAGAAGAAAUUAUCAGAGAUUACUUGUUAAUAGUUUGUUAUUUGAAGAAUUGGAUAAAUAUUAAUCCGUUUGUCUUUUUUUUUUUUUUUUUGUCAUCAAUUUCUACUGAUAUCUUGCGCCUUUUGUUCAAAUCUUUCGCUUUAUUUGUUACCGUGUAAAUGUAUAAAAAAAAAAAAAAAAAUUCUAAAGCACUUUUUCACUAAACUGGGACACAAAGCUCUGUGGAUUUACUUAAUAUACACUGUUAGGAGUUAGCAGAGGAAAAUGUUCAUAACUACUCCAAGAUAAGGUGCAUCUGCUAGAAUAAAGGGCGAGAUUAUGAAUCAAGGACAUUCCUCCCUCCAAGAUUCAUCUUCAUUCGUAGUAUUGCAUGCCAUGCAAUUCGUGAUUUACUACGUUGCCUGAAGAACAUUACUUAGUUAUUAAAGUAGAAGGAUAAACAAGAUUGCAAAAAUCUGCUUCACGCAUGUUGAGAGUCAUUAAUUCGACCCACGUCUCAACUUCCAUUCAUACAGCAUUAGCUCUCUGUUCUCCGAUUCUUGGUUCUACAUAUAUAUCAUGGUCAAUUUCACAAGCAAACAAUCCUAAUAUGCGCAAUAACUAGUAUAUAUAUAUUCUUGUGCACAUGUCAUAUCUUCAGAAUUGAAAUUUCUCCGUACUUUUUGAGAUUUAUGUGAUAUAAAGUUAUCGAUCCUUAUGCUUUAGUGGUACCUGAAUUGUUUCCUUUGGGAAUUGAACCCAAAGGAGUAUCAGUUGUGACUGAUUAAAAUUAGUUUGUUAGAUCAUUCCAAGUAGGAGAAAUGCACAGGAUGCAUUUGAGGGCUCAAACUAUGGCAUCCCCAAGAAUGUUCCUUGCUGUUGGCAUGAUGAUGAUGAUGGUCAUUAUGCAUAGCCCAAUGGUGAUUGUUGGAGACAAAAUAGGCAUAGGCGUUUGUUAUGGAAUGGUAGCCAACAAUCUACCUUCUGCUACCGAUGUGAUUAGCCUUUACAAGAAAUAUAACAUCGGCAAACUAAGGCUAUUUGAUCCAAAUCCUGACGCUCUAGAAGCAUUGAAGGGCAGUGGAAUUGACGUCGCAUUAGGCGCAAAGAAUGAAGAUAUACCGAGCAUAGCCACAAGUACUGAGGGAGCAGAAUCGUGGUUUACAACAAAUGUGCUGCCUUAUCUGAGUAACAUUACAUUUUCAUUCAUUUCUGUUGGAAAUGAAGCAAUCCCAGGAGAGUUUGCCAACGAUGUCGCCCCUGCCAUGAGUAAUCUUCAGGCUGUUCUGAAUGACCACAAUCUAAAUGGUAUUACCGUGACCACCGCGGUCGCUACGAUGGUGUUGGGAGUUUCCUAUCCUCCUUCAGCCGGUCAAUUCUCACCUGAGACAAAGGGUGCACUGGCAGAUGUGUUGAGCUUUCUAUCAAUCAAAGGGUCUCCAUUGAUGGCCAAUGUGUACCCUUACUUCGCCUAUGCAUCGGAUCCAGACCAAGUUCGCCUAGAUUAUGCUCUUUUCACUGCAAAAGAUCCAGUGGUUGUUGAUGGAAAUCUGAGUUAUCAUAACUUAUUUGAUGCUACGGUAGAUUCAUUUUAUUGGGCAAUGGAGAAACAGGGUGUAAAUAACGUAGGAGUGGCAGUUUCUGAGAGCGGAUGGCCUUCUGCUGGGAAUGGAGGUUUCACAACCCCAGAACUUGCAUCUACAUACAACAGGAACUUUAUGCAGCAUGUGUUGAAUAUGGGUGGCACACCUAAGAGGCCUGGGGCAUAUAUUGAAGGGUUUAUCUUUGCCAUGUUUAAUGAAAAUCAAAAGCCUUCUGGUAUAGAGCAAAAUUGGGGACUUUUUUAUCCUAACAUGCAACCUGUAUAUGCAGUGUUUUGACACAAUUUGAAAUGCCUAUCUUGCACUUAGGUCAAAGAGUUCCAUACAAAAAGGAACUGCAAAAAAGAAAGAGUUAUUCUGGAUAUUGGAAUGGAUGCACAACAUUUUUUUUCUUGUUAAAUUUGGGUUCAAUAAUCAACGACUCUAUAUUUUAAAUUUCUAUUGUAUCUUAAUUCAAGGCACUAAAAAAUGUGAAAUUUCACAAGCUCUUUAGUCCAUGAUACUUCAAGAACAACACAUAAAGGAUAACUGAAACUUGCUCCUUUUUGUGAACUAUUUAGUUUUUAAAACUAAUUAUUGCAUUCUUAGGUACAUAGUAAAAGCCAGAGUAAUCCAUGUACUUACCAUGCAACACACAGAUUUGAUAAAAAAAAAAAACACUGACUUCUCUGAAAUACAUGCAAAGCUACCUUUCUCGUUGUAUAUAUGAAAAAGGAUUUUUUUUUUUUUUUUCUCAACGGAUCUGCUGGAUGAUAGUUGGUACAAGCAAUGAAUACUGGUACAGAAGGUACCAGGUGUUAAAAUGAGUACGUUGGCUAUAAAUAAAUAAAGUUUAACAACCAAUGCUCGUUGGUGUCGUUGAAUAUAUCUUUUAUUAUGGUACAAUAGCUUUCUUGUAUAAUUGAGAGCUAGCAAUAGAACUUUCUAUUCUGCUUCCUCCAACCUAUUAAUCUUAAUGAUUUAUGCUAACUUCACAAAAUUUUUCGUGCUAGUGCAUGGCACAUACAUCUAGUAUUCGAUAAGAUUUGGGAAUCUUGUCACACUAAUCUUUUAUAGCAAGUAAUACGCUUACUGUUUAUUUUACAGCCUUUACUUGCAUGCGAGGCACAAGUCUUAAAUCAUAUAUAGGGCUUGUUUUUUAUGAUUAUAAAUUUUGAUUAUAAUCCCUUUUUGUGAUAUUUUUUUAUUAAUUUUGUAUUUUGAUUAUAAAUUUUUUUAAUGACCAAAAAAGAUAAUAUCUAUAAUCACCCAAAAAAAAUGUUUUUACUGAUUUUGAUUAUCUUCAUAAGUAAUUUUUAUAAUUAGACUUUAGAAAAUUUAAAGCAACUGAGAACAAGGCCAUAGUUGGUCCCUCUAUCCGCCCCCGGUAGUAAGGGUGUAUUCGAGUCAAGUCGAGUUCAAGUAUAGCAAUAUAAUUAUACUCGAGCUCGAGUUUGAUCUCGAUCGAGUCAGAAAAUCUCAACUCGAGCUUGACUCGAGGAAAUCCUUAAAAGUUCGAGACUCGAUUGGACAAGGUUCGACCUUGAGUCGGGUCGAGUCUUAUCGAGUCAAGUAAACUGAUCAAUCGAGUUUUUUGAUCAAUCUUGUAAAUUCAUUAUAAAUUGUACCCAUAACGGUCAUUUUAUAAUUAUAAUACAUAUAUAUUAUUUUAAUUAUACUACUCGAUGAGCAGCUCGUCAAGCCCCGAGCUGCAAAAAUCCGGGCUUGAACUCGACUUGAAUAUAUACUCGAAUAACUCAAGACUCUGCUCGAAUUCGAUUUGACCGAGUUCAAGUCAAGUUAUUAGCCGAGUUGCUCGCAAGCUACAUGCAUCCCUAGCCGGUAGUGCUCUCUUCAACAAACUUAUAUGUGCUUAAGGAAAAUCUAGGCAUUGAGGCAAUUGAUUACAGGUCAGCAAACAAAAGUAAAUUACUUGUCCAAUUAUAACUGAUAGAAAAAAACAAUCAAUACCAUCGUUUAACUUCAUUCUACUCAAUUAUUUCUAUAGUCUCGAGAAGUUAGGAGAAAUUUUUUAUUUGCCUCUCUGAGCUAAGCACGCCUAUCAUGUAUUUCAAAACAUGACACGUAUUCCAAAACAUGGAAAUAAUCGGUACCUAAAGCAUUGGUUUUCUUUUAAAUUUUUUUUUAACGCAUGAUCAGCAACAGGGGCAUAAGCCAAUCUAAUCAAGUCGAUUACCUUAAUAUUUAAAUUUAUAUGAUUAUUUUAACAAUUUUGAAAUUAUGUUCUAGUUUAGUUUGUUGAUUUAUGAAGUUGAAUUCUAAUGAACUUUUAUUGAGUCUAGAUCUAGAUGAGGUCGAGUUUUAAUUUAAUUUUGAUCAAACCGAGUUUGAACCAAGUUUGAAACUUUAUUUAAUAGAAAAAUAUUAUUCAGGCUUGGCUGAUGAACUAUAAGUUCUCUUAACAAAUCUAAUUCAAUUGGAGUAUCAAAUGACACAGUCGGUUUUUUCCCCUUAACCAGAAAAGAUGCUAAUUGUUAAAAGAUAAAAGCAAAAAAAAAAAAAAAAAGGAUUGAAAUUCCUACUUCCCCUGCAGCGGAGGCUGAUAACCUGGCGGUGCAGGUUUUUUCAUAUUUCCGACGAAAAAUGUUUGUCGGUCAUUGACUCACAAUGACCUAAAAUGGAGGUUUCAAACAUGUCCAUUAAUGAUUUCCGUCUUUGUUCAUUUAUACUACAUGAUAUAGAUCUCCAUUCAGCUUACCAUUUUACAAAAUUUUGAAUAAAUGGAAUCUUAUUCUUUAUUAGUUUCAAAAUCUUGCUCUUUAUGGAGGUUUCAACUGGAGGUGGUAAAAUGGUUAAUUGGAAUAAAUCCUAAGUAGUUCAUGAAUUCAAUAGAUCCAAUCUGCUUCGGACUCAAGACGGAUUAAAAUAUAAAUUUGCUAUUUUUUUUAUUCGAUCAAAAAUAAAAUAAAAUAAAAUGGAGAUAUGAAAAUUUUAUGAGAAUUCCUUCUAGAUAAUAGACGUCUAUGUAAGGUUUCUGCUCAAGAGUUUACAGAUACUCAUAAUUAAUUGUUAUAAUUGAAAUGGAGUCACCCCAAUUAGUAGAUGGAUGUUAACGAUUUGGAAUUUAAUGGGUAUUGAUUACCCGUUAAAUCCAUUUAAUUUGAUACUUUCAACCCCUUUGAUAUGAUAUAAUACUAUCCUAGCCUCCCCCGCUGGCUGCUGCAGCCCAUUGUUUUCGCUUUCCAAUUUUUUCUUUUUAAAACACAUCAGCUAUUCCUUUUCUCUUUCUUUUUUUUUUGUUUUUUUAAAUUUUUUCCCUUGUAAAAUAAAUGAAUAUUACACUACUCUUAUAGUCUUGUAGUAUUUUAACAAUUUCAUUUUUUAGAGGGAGGGAUGGGUUGGGUGGUUUGGAAGGGGAGAAUAUAAAUGAGAGGUCUGAGGGUACAUUAAAAAAAAAAAAAAAAACCUACUUUUGAAUUUCUUGACCCGUAAAUUCUAGUUUCAUUUCAAUUGUAUUUUUCAGAUGUGGCUCUUGAGAAAAUAAUAGUUGUGUAAUUCUUAUUGAUGUAACGUGGCAUAGAAGAAAAACGUAAUUAAAAUAAUAAAACAUUAAUUGAAAAUUAUAUUCUAAAUAUAGAUUGGACACUUAAGACAUGCGAUGUUUUUCUAAAAGAUCUCGUAUUUACUUCUCCUUUUACUUCUUCUUUUGGGGUUUGGAGUCUAAAUUUGGUGUAUACUUUGUCAUUUAAACUUUCUCUCAGACAAUAUAUAUGUUCGUUCCUCUAAUGUUAUAUUUCUAGUUUUUUAACAACGCCGCUUUUGUCUUUUUUGGCUCGAAAAAUUCCUGUUUCAUUUCAAUUGCAUAUUUUAGAAGCAAGUUUAGGAAAAUAGUACUGGAAUUCUCUCAAGUUAACGUACAAAUAACUUAUAGGAAGAGAGUGUCUACUGUCUACGUCUCCUUUUCCUUUUCCUUUUCUUUUUAUAUGGGAACCUGAAUUUGGGAGAGAAUUACUUUGUCUUUUAAGCGUAUCUAUUUAUUUUUUAGUUGUUUUUCAAAAAAGUUAAUUUGGAAUUUGAACUAAUUUUGUGGACGUGGUUAAAUUACCAUACAAUAGUGGUUUCUGUCAACUACCUAGUCAAUUUUGAAAUGGGUGAUGUUUAUGUAACCCAAACCAAAAAAAAAAAAAAAAAAAAACCCCAAACAGAGUCGUAAAUUUUUUUCAUUAAAGGAUGUUAAUGGAUUAUUCACUAAAAACCAGGAUAGUCAUUAGCUUCCGUUUAAGGUUUUGGAUAAAUCCAUAGCCAAUUAAGGCACCGCUGGGACUGAUGGAAAGAGAAGGAAAGUAAAGAAGACAGCUGCAGUGAAAAAGAAAACAAAGGAAAUCAGAAUCCAUUCAUCUUUUUUGGAUUAUGAAAGUAAAGAAAAGUAAGCUAUCACGAGUUAGUUACAUUUUCAUCCCUAAUUUAAAAGUCAAUUUAUCAAUGCAUAAAAAAAAUUUAGAAAAUUUCACAAUUUGCAUUAAUUUUGGUAUCUUUCCUUCGUUUACGCCCACUUUUGGACAGCAACCAAGCCGACAAAAAAUAACUAAAUCUUAUUCUUUCCUUUCCAUUUUUUAAAAAACCAAUUCAAAUAUAAAAAACCUUAUUCCACCAUUUCAUUUCUUUUCCUUUCCCUCCUAUUCCCUCGAAACAAACUGAGCCUAAGUGAGAUGGAUACGAAUUAAUGGUUUAAUGGAUUUGGAUCAAAAUUGCCACCUCUUUUUUAAAUAUUUCCAUCAAUGAUUUCCGUCUUUAUUCAUUUAUAGAUGAUAACAGGUCUCCAUUCAGCUUACCAUUUUACAAAAUUUUGAAUAAAUAGAAUCUUAAUCUUUUUAUUAUAUCAGGGAGCGAUUUCCACCAGGUGUGAAAAACAAGAACCCAUAUGCGGCUUGGUUUGCAUUCGUGGCCACUGACCAUAAAUUUUUAUGACCCCCCCCAAAACACCAAACUUAACAAGAAGGUUUGAAUGAUUAUAUAUAUUGCAUAGGCUUGUUCAUUCGAAGCUAUGCCAGUUCCAGGGGCCGAGACAAUUCUGCAGAAACAGCCUGCAAAUUGCAGUGCCCCUCCAGCGCUUGAACGUUGUUAUCUAUAGCUACCAGCCAAAGCAUUAUUAAUUACUGGAGUGGAGACAAUUGUACAAAACCAAAGUUAUCUUCAUAGCUUGUGAGCAUAUGGGCUGCUAAUUAUGGCUGUCGUUACCAAACUUAUAGCUGAUUAAUUUGCCUGUAAGUCCAUGGUUUUACAUGUAUAUGUCCUUCAGGUUACCGUACCAUCAACAUUUUCGUAACUCUAUCAUCGUAGUCCUUUCCUCUCUUUUGUUAUUUUUUCUUUCAGAGGUAAAUAGUUGAUCAUAUGUGGUAAACCCACCCACAAAAAAAAAAAUAAAAAUAAAAAGCCAUUUUCUAAUUAAUAUUCGUUUCGUGUUUAUAAUUUCUCAUUACACCAAUUUCCCCAUUGCCGUUAAGCUUUGGAGUUAUUACUAAUGCUAUGAUACUAUUUGUAAAUGUAAUCCUGUUCUCUAAAUAGAUAGGUUUAUCUUUUUUGCCAAUCAUUAGUUUCAUGCACCAAAGGGCAUAAACAAAUGUCUGUAUAACAUACGUAGAUCCUCUUUUUUUUUUUUUUUGGGGGGGGGGGGAUGGAGGGGGUAAAUUGAGAAAUGCAGUCACCAUUACAAAUGAAAUUUUAAUUGGUGCUUCUGACUAUGAUUUCGUUUUUGUGAUUUAACAAUAUUGCUGUAUAUUACCAGUCACUAAUUGAUGUAUCUAAUUUUUCAGAUAUCAUUCUACUUAGGUAAGACAAGCAAAAUAUGCAUGUAACGGUUCAAAUGAAGUCAUUCUUGCUGAUUAUAUUUCCCAUGGUUCUUGCAAUCACAACUAUGCUGCUCCCAAUAGCCAUUGCUGGUGACAAAAUUGAUAUAGGCGUUUGUUAUGGAAUGGUAGCGGACAACUUACCUCCUGCCGCAGAAGUCAUUGCCCUUUACAAGAAGUAUAGCAUUGGCAAACUGAGGCUUUUUGAUCCAAAUCGAGAUGCCCUACGAGCACUAAAGGGCAGUGAUAUUGAUGUCACAUUAGGCGUAAAAAAUGAAGAUAUACCAAACAUAGCAGCAAGCGUUGACGGCGCAAGAUCAUGGUUUACGACAAAUCUACAGCCUUAUACUAAUGACAUUACAUUCGCAUUCGUUUCUGUGGGAAAUGAGGCCAUCCCAGGUGAGUUCGCAGACAGUAUUGCACCAGCCAUGAAAAAUCUUCAGUCUGUCUUAAGCGAUGACAACCUUAAUGGUGUAACCGUGACAACAUCAGUGUCAACAGCUGUGCUAGGAACUUCCUUUCCGCCUUCAGCCAGCGUAUUCUCAGAUGAUGCAAAGGGUGCAAUUGUCGAUGUUCUGAACUUUUUAACCAUCAAGGGAUCACCUCUGAUGGUGAAUGUGUACCCUUACUUCGCCUAUGCAUCCGAUCCAGUGCAUGUUCGUCAAGAUUAUGCACUCUUCACCGCAACAGAUGCGGUGGUUGUGGAUGGUAAUUUGACUUAUCAUAACUUGUUUGAUGCUAUGGUAGAUGCAGUGUACUGGGCAAUGGAGAAAGAAGGCGUGCAUAAUCAUAAUGUGGGAGUGGCAGUUUCUGAGAGUGGAUGGCCUUCUGCCGGGAAGGGGAAUUUCACAACUCCAAAACUUGCGUCUACGUACAACAAGCACUUCAAGCAGCAUAUCUUGAGCAAGGCUGGUACACCUAAAAGGCCAGGGGCUCACAUUGAAGGCUUCAUUUUUGCCAUGUUUAAUGAAGAUCUCAAGCCUGCUGGAGUAGAACAAAAUUGGGGACUUUUCUAUCCUAACAAGAAACCUGUUUAUCCAGUGUUUUGACACAAAGUCCAAAUGCAUGUAUUCAUUUGGACUUUUGACACAAGUGCUUACUAUUAUUCUGUCGGCAUCUUGAUCUUAAUACAUGUUGGAGUAUAUUGAACAAAUAGAACCAAAACAAGAUAUAAUUCGUUUUCUGUUGAUUAAUUAGCCGAUCAAGAGAAUUACCUUAACGGAAGAGGCUCCUGAUGAUCUUGCAAAAGUAGUGAGCUUCUUGCAAGCUCGAAAAAUCUGCUCUCAUGGUCAACGUGUCUGUACCCUUACUUCGACCAUGCAGCCGAUCGAUCCCAUCAACACUCGUCACUCGAUUUUGCACAGUUCACGGCCAAUGAACCAGUGCUUCUGGGCAGUGGAAAUUUGAAUUAUACGAAAUUGUACGAUGCAACUCUGGUUGCAUUUUUGUGGGCAGUGGAAAGAGCGAGAUUUCGGAAUCUUCAAAACUAAUUUGGAACCAGCGUAUCUUUUAAUUAAGGAAAACAAACACUUUGAAAAGGAAAAGGAUUGUAAACAAAUUAUAAAAAGAAGAAAAAAAAAUGUUUCUAAGCUUGAUAUGUAAAGCCAAAACAGGGCUUCGAUUAUUUAUUUGGGGGAGGGGGGAUGAGAAUCACAAGUUAAAGUUUAUCUAGUUAAGAUCUGCUUGCGUAAUUCGUAUUCCAAUUGGGGUAAACUUAUAUAAUUUUGAUGCAAUUGCUAAUGUAGUUUAUGAGUCAUAAGAAUUUAGGGUCUGUUUGGUUGGAAGUAAAAUAUUUUCCUUGGGAAAAUAUUUUCCGUGGAAGUAAUUUUCCAUGAAAAUCAUUUCCCUUUCAUCAUUUUCAGGUGUUUGGUUAGUUUAUUGAAAAUAUUUUCUUACUUCAUUUUUCUGGUGUUUGUUUAACUUUUGAAAUAUUUUCACUUUUAUCUCUAUCUUUACUUUUUACACAUUAUAACUACAUACUUCUUUCCAUGCAAAAUAAGAAAAUUUAUCUCAUUGUUUAACUUUAAAAAAUCUUGGAGAAAUGUAUAUAUGAAUAAAAAAUAUCUCCUUAAACAAUAAACAAAUUGCUGGUCAUUUAGUGUCAAAUAUCAAUCACAUGCAAUGCUUAUUGUGACAUAUAUCUUGCACUCUCACUGUUGAAAGUUUCUUUAGAAAAGAAUGUCCCUAUUAUACAUAAUUAAUUACUAGCAUAGGAUGAACAGGAUGAGGUUUUUUUUUUAUUUUGAAUAUAAUAGGGGGAGGGUUGGGUUGGGUUGGGUGGUACGGGGGAGGGAGUGUAAGGAAGAGGUCUUGGAUUCGAGUCCUCCUGUUUACACUAAAAAAAAAAAAAAAGAACAUACUACAAGAUGUUUUCAGUAAGUUUGGAACAUACUACAGGUGGAAUGCAUGCAUUUCGGAAAACAACUUCAGUAAGUUUGGAAGGGAAGUUGUUUUCCAUAAGAUGAGUGAAAAUAUUUUACAUAGGAAAAUGUUUUCAGUAACUUUUGUGCAACCAAACACGGAAAAUUAGGAAAAUAUUUUCUUGGAAAAUAUUUUCACCCGAAACAAACGGACCCUUAUUCCUAGAGUUCUAAGAAUUAUGGUAACUAGGUAGAACUAUGACAAAACUCAAACUUGUGAAAGUCCAUGACUAAAAGGGAGAGAAAUGAAAUUAAAUAACUAGGCUGCAGAUUUGGAAUAACAUCCAAGAGGCCUGGGCCAAUUGAUUUGAGAUAGAGGCUUUUGUUUUUGCUCUGCUUGAUGAAAAGCUUGAUCCUAAUAAGGAUGGUAGACUAGACGAAACUUCUGCAUCUUCAAUGGCACUGCCUCAGAGCCUGCUUGUCCAUUGUUUACUGCUACUGGAAAUAAUCAUUUCCAAGCUGCACAGAGAGUAGGAAGGGAAAGGAAUAGAAGGGUGGUGCAGUCAUGAUCACAAAUCCUAAGUUGAAUGCAAUAAUUAAUUUUAAAAAAAUUCUAUGAACUCUCUCCCUCUCCGCCAAAAGCAAUGGGGUCAAUCGUCUUCUGUACGUUUUGGGACUAGUUCAGAAUAUAUUGAGAUCUCUCCCCGUCAACAUGAUGUAUGGAUAAUAAAAUUCAAAGAACACACUGGAAACUUCCAUUAUAAAAGCAGAUGAGACGACGUUAAACAAAACCAGUCAAGUUGAAGGCAUAAACCUAUCAAGUCCUCAACCAUAAUAGAACAACAUGCAAAUUACAGACGUGAUUGUGGUACAUUGCCACUGGUACCAUUGCUUAGAAAAGGGUAAUCUGUGUAUCCUACAACAGGAUCAUGAGUAUAGAAGGUAGAUCUAUUAUACCUAAUCAAAGGAGCAUUUAGCUUAAAGCGUAAAACUAAGUCUGG
RNAcentral lists this long non-coding RNA (39582 nucleotides) under Coffea arabica (coffee). Its description in RNAcentral is "long non-coding RNA (CARA_LNC004036)". The record is from RNAcentral. Lineage: Eukaryota; Viridiplantae; Streptophyta; Magnoliopsida; Gentianales; Rubiaceae.